CAAUAGCGUAUAUUAAAGUUGUUGCAGUUAAAAAGCUCGUAGUUGGAUUUCUGGUGGGAGCGAUCGGUCUGGCGCUUAGCGCGAGUACUUGCAUCGUCUCCGGCCAUCCUUGGGGAGAGUCUGUCUGGCAUUAGGUUGUCGGGCAGAGGAUCCUCAUCGUUUACUGUGAAAAAAUUAGAGUGUUCAAAGCAGGCUUAUGCCGUUGAAUAUAUUAGCAUGGAAUAAUAAGAUAGGACUUUGGUACUAUUUUGUUGGUUUGCGCACCAAAGUAAUGAAUAAUAGGGACAGUUGGGGGUAUUCGUAUUCCGUUGUCAGAGGUGAAAUUCUUGGAUUUACGGAAGACGAACUACUGCGAAAGCAUUUACCAAGGAUGUUUUCAUUAA
This 383-nucleotide ribosomal RNA is filed under the name uncultured eukaryote. RNAcentral describes it as "partial 18S ribosomal RNA". It matches the Rfam family "Eukaryotic small subunit ribosomal RNA", at positions 592 to 976 of the family's 1831-position model. The record is from RNAcentral.